CGCACUUACCCAAUCCCGACACGGGGAGGUAGUGACGAAAAAUAACGUGGCGGGGCCCUUUCGUGGUCGCCGCGGGCGGAAUGAGCGCAAUUUAAAAGAGUGUGCGAGGAGCUAUUGGAGGGCAAGCCUGGUGCCAGCAGCCGCGGUAAUUCCAGCUCCAAUAGCCUAUAUCGGAGUUGCUGCGGUUAAAAAGCUCGUCGUUGGAUCUCGGAGGCGGCACGGUCGGGCGCGAUACGCUGCGGGUCCGACCGGCGAUUUCUCGGCCGUCCCUAACCAGCGCGCGGGGCGAGGUGGACUUCGCGGUCCUGCCUCGUUUUUCUCCUUCACGGGAGAGAACCCGCCGCAUUUUCUGUCUACCUUGAAAAAAUUAGAGUGCUAAAGGCAGGCUAAAACCCCGAGCCUGAAUAUUUCGUGCAUGGAAUAAGCGGGGAUGCUCUUUUCCGGAGGGCGGUCCGACCGACUGGCGACGUCGCUUUCGCUGUCGGUUUCGCCGGAGAGCUAGGAUUCGAGAGGAACGGUGGGGGGCGAGCGUACCGGGCGGGGAGAGGUGAAAUUUUGUGAUCCGCUCGGGACGACUCGAAGCGAAAGCGCUGGCCCCGGACGUCUUCCUUAAUCCAGAACGAAGGUGGGUGGAGCAAAGACGAUCAGAUACCGUCGUAGUACCGACGGUAAACGCUGCCGACCGGGCCGCGGACGAGGCUCGAGAACAGCGGUUAUGGACCCGUCCGUGGCGGCUUCGGGCAACCUGAGAGUUUACGGGUUCCGGGGGUAGUAUGGUCGCAAGGCUGANACUUGAAGGAAUUGACGGAAGGGCACCACAAGGAGUGGAGCCUGCGGCUUAAUUUGACUCAACACGGGGCAACUUACCCGGUCCGGACAUCGUCAGGAUUGACAGACGCUCGUGCAGUUCUUUCUCGAUUCGAUGGGUGGUGGUGCAUGGCCGUUCGUGGCUGGUGAAGUGAAAAGUCUGGUUUAUUCCGCUAACGGGCGAGGCCUCGCCCUUAACUAGUCGGCUCGUGGUUCUCGAAUCGUAGUCUCCCUUCGGGGAGCAGGGAGAACAUCGGGCGAGUCGCAGCGAUCGUCGCUACUUCUUAGGGGGAUCCCGAGCAAGCUUAAGCUAGGUGAGAGAGAUCAAUAACAGGUCAGUGAUGCCCUUAGAUGUCCGGGGCCGCACGCGCGCUACACUGAAGACGAAAGCGCGAGUGCCUACGGUCUUGGUUUGGUCAGGCCGGGAACCCGCCCCGAGAGGGGAGGUUGGGGCUGUUCCUUCACGGGGGCAGUCUCGCCUACUGCGGGUUAACCGUGCCAAUCGUCUUCGUGCUGGGGAUCGGGN
This 1333-nucleotide non-coding RNA is filed under the name Lottia gigantea (owl limpet). Its description in RNAcentral is "Eukaryotic small subunit ribosomal RNA". It matches the Rfam family "Eukaryotic small subunit ribosomal RNA", at positions 435 to 1582 of the family's 1831-position model. Lineage: Eukaryota; Metazoa; Mollusca; Gastropoda; Lottiidae. The record is from Rfam by way of RNAcentral.